Long non-coding RNA from Mus musculus (house mouse), 280 nucleotides. RefSeq annotates it as predicted gene, 35733. The record is from RefSeq and is a predicted model, not a curated record. The transcript has 2 exons. Lineage: Eukaryota; Metazoa; Chordata; Mammalia; Rodentia; Muridae.
ACAUGGCAAUAUUCCAAACACGUAUUAUGAUGCUAGUUUCUCAGGUUGGCACAAGUCCAUGAGAAAACUGUGGUUAGAUGAUGUCUCAACCCAGGGCCAAGGAUGUGUCUCAAUGGUCUUGCGUGACCCCUGUGAAAGGAUUACUUGAUACGCUCAAAGAGGUUGUGACCCAUAGGUUGGGAACAAUUGCUCUAUACCAAGACCCAUCUGAUUUCCAACAGCCAACCUUGCUGGGCCUUAGCACAUUGCAGUCACACAAAGACAGUGUUUUCUCAAUUGA